AUCAAUUCAAGUAGUGUUCUCCAUAUUAAAGUUCUUCCUUCUCUUUUCAUAGCUUCCUCUUCUUAGUUGAUUCUUUCGAUCUUAGUCAAUGAUCUUGGGCUAGCAGAAGGUCUCUCUAACUACACCAUUCUUCUACUAUUCUCUAUAGUCGAAGCACGACAUAAUUUACAAGGUCCGCUUCUGCUCACAAGGACUUUCCAAUCUGGAUCCCUGAAGAUACUGGCAAAUUUACAUGUAAAUCAGCUUGGAGUAAGGGUGUUAAGUGGGCCGGCUCAAUCCAGAAUCGGCCCAUUAAAAUUAUUCGGGUGUGGGCAAGGCCAGGUCCGGGUUGGGGUUAAGUGGGCCGGGCUCAACAGUAAACUUUUAAAAAACAACCCUAACCCGAUCCACUUAACCCAACCCGGUCAAACCCACCUAAACCCGGUCAAACCAGAUAAAAAAUAAAAAUAAAAACUUUUUUUCAAUAUACACUAUAUAUACCCACCUAUAAACAUUUUAAAUAUGUUAAACAAUAUAUAUACACUAUAUAUCUAGUAUAUACUACAUUAGAAUUUAAAAAAUAUAUACUCAUAUACACAAUUACACAUAUAUACG
RNAcentral lists this long non-coding RNA (594 nucleotides) under Capsicum annuum. RNAcentral's name for it is "long non-coding RNA (CANN_LNC013619)". The record is from RNAcentral. Lineage: Eukaryota; Viridiplantae; Streptophyta; Magnoliopsida; Solanales; Solanaceae.